GGCCCAACCAAACUGGCCUUCGGCGGCCCAGCACAGCAGCUUAUCACGGCCAAAACCGCCAAACCCUAGUUGUGCAUGCAUAGCCCCUCACGCCAGCCGCCAACGCCCCAAUCCCGUAACCGCAGCCUCGCCCCGCUCACAUCUUCCUCUCCCUCUCAGCGCUGGUGCUCAAUCUAUAGGUCGUCCCACUCCCUACACACCCGCCCUCCGGUGUGAACCUCCAUGACGUCUGCAACCACUCUUCGAUCUGCUGUCGUGACCUCAUCCAGCCGUGCUGUGGCAGUGGAUCGGAGUUCGCUCCAGCUCUGAUUGGGGGGAAAUGACUAGGGUAUCAAGUGGAAAAACAUAAUGGUCCAGGUUCUACUGCACCUCUUUCAGGCUAAGCAUCUAAACAACAAUAUGUAAAUUAUCCUUUUCCAAUAAAAUACAUGCUUAAACCGUGGCUGCUAGGCAAAUGGUCCUACUUUGGUCAUCAAAUGCAGGAAUUCCACUACUAUAUGUGCCACUUGAAGUUGUUAUGUCAAAAUAUUAUGGUGAAAGCGAGCGUCUAUUGGGAUCUAUUUUUUAUCUUGCAAAUGAUCUUCCUGAAAGAGGUAAUAUAUUCUUAGAUGAGGUAUAUAUCGUAAUACUUAUAGCAUAAGCACUCAAGCCACUACAAGUAAGCUCCUGCCCUUUGCUUGUUUCCAGAUUGAUAUGUCAAGAUACGCUUGUUUCACUUGAGCUCACUGUUAUCUGAAAAUCUAUAGACUGCCUUCGUCCCCUUCAUCACUACCGAUGACCGUGACUUGGCCACCACAGCAAAAGCACGCAGGAUCCUUGAUGUGUGUGGUCUAGACGUGAUUGAAUUGGGCGUGCCUGACUUUGAUCCAUUAGUUGAAUGUCCAGCAACUCAAAUUGUUUGCCUAUACAAUUUGUUCUUAUACUAUAUUGUCUAUGUAUGCUCCUGCUUCCUGCGUUUUGGUUUACACUAGUUUAGGCCUCCUCGACACGCGCUCUGGCGAAGUGCACCACAUUUGAGGAUGUCAUCUCCAUAGUAAAGUGGGUGAUACCUGACCUAUUUUGCCCUAACAUGUAGCACUUUCACAUAUUACAACCUGAUUCUUUUGCGUGGUACCCCCAACAUGAGCGUUGUUAUAACCUCAUUCUUGUGAUGUUCACUCCCAUUAAAAUACCAUUACAUUAAGUAGAUAAUCUGGUAAUAGGACAUCUAGAUAAUUUUGGUAAUUGACCUUGGGGGAAAAUGGUACAUCCAAUUACUGCUUACAAAUUGAUCUUUUUACGGUUCUGCUUAUCGCGUUUGUGCAUUGCGUUUUUUCGUUCAAUUGUUUUAGUUUUACAUAUUUUAUGUUAUUUGAAUAACUAUAGAUAUAUAUCCAAACUGCACUAGUAGAGAAAACUCUUAAAACGCAUGUCCCAAUAUAGAUAUAAUAUGAAGGAUUAUUGUGCUUAAACAAAUUUUAGAUUAUGGGCAUAGCCUACUUAGUUCAUACUGAAAUGAAUAAAUUUAUGCAUUUUCAAACUAAAUUUUACGACACUUCUUGUUGUGUUUUAUGUUUCUAUUAAAAAACAGUCUUACUGCGUUUUACACCAAAUUUAUGACACUUUUUGAUGUGUUUUACAGCAAUCUAGGUGCCACCAGUGUGGGCGCAACCCAUCACGAGGCGAUGCUGGCGAGCCAGCCAUAGCGCGACAUCUCCGUCCGCGUCGUUAAUCCCUAUGGGUGUGCAACAGCAGCGGUAUUCAACAUGUUAGGUAAAAGUAUCGAUGCAGACCAAAGAUUAACACUUGAUGGAGACAAGUUGACCACUGACCUUGCUGGUCUAUUUACUAGAACAUCAAAGAGUCCUGCAUACCAUGUUUAUGUCAUGAGAAGUAAUAGGAAGUAGAGGAUAUCUAGGUGGUUUUGGCAAUGUAUUUAGUGAUUUUAACCAUUCACCCUCUAAUGCAAAGGAAUACCCCCUUGCCUUGCCAUCACGAUUAUUUUGUCCUCUUUCUGUUGCCUUGGCAAGUCAAGAUUCUACAUAUGCAUAUUUUAAAAUUGCUGGACUCAUGUAUGCUAAAAAUUGUACUUAUUUACGCAGUUUUGAUUCUGUUUUAUGCUUAAA
Long non-coding RNA from Zea mays, 2105 nucleotides. RefSeq lists it as uncharacterized. The transcript has 5 exons. The record is from RefSeq and is a predicted model, not a curated record. Lineage: Eukaryota; Viridiplantae; Streptophyta; Magnoliopsida; Poales; Poaceae.